This 653-nucleotide ribosomal RNA is filed under the name Streptomyces sp. NRRL F-4428. RNAcentral describes it as "bacterial LSU rRNA". It matches the Rfam family "Bacterial large subunit ribosomal RNA", at positions 1 to 586 of the family's 2925-position model. Lineage: Bacteria; Bacillati; Actinomycetota; Actinomycetes; Kitasatosporales; Streptomycetaceae. The record is from RNAcentral.
ACAGUGGACGCGAGCAUCUGUGGCCAAGUUUUUAAGGGCGCACGGUGGAUGCCUUGGCACCAGGAACCGAUGAAGGACGUGAGAGGCCGCGAUAGGCCCCGGGGAGCUGCCAACUGAGCUUUGAUCCGGGGGUGUCCGAAUGGGGAAACCCGGCAGUCGUCAUGGGCUGUCACCCACUGCUGAACACAUAGGCAGUGUGGAGGGAACGAGGGGAAGUGAAACAUCUCAGUACCCUCAGGAAGAGAAAACAACCGUGAUUCCGGGAGUAGUGGCGAGCGAAACCGGAUGAGGCCAAACCGUAUGCGUGUGAUACCCGGCAGGGGUUGCGCAUGCGGGGUUGUGGGAAUGAGCUUUCACAGUCUGCCGGCUGUGAGGCGAGUCAGAAACCGUUGAUGUAGUCGAAGGACAUGCGAAAGGUCCGGCGUAGAGGGUAAGACCCCCGUAGACGAAACAUCAGCGGCUUGCUUGCUCAUCUCCCAAGUAGCACGGGGCCCGAGAAAUCCCGUGUGAAUCUGGCGGGACCACCCGCUAAGCCUAAAUAUUCCCUGGUGACCGAUAGCGGAUAGUACCGUGAGGGAAUGGUGAAAAGUACCGCGGGAGCGGAGUGAAAUAGUACCUGAAACCGUGUGCCUACAAGCCGUGGGAGCGUCGCU